AGCAUAUCAAUAAGCGGAGGAAAAGAAACCAACAGGGAUUGCCCUAGUAACGGCGAGUGAAGCGGCAACAGCUCAAAUUUGAAAGCUGGCUCCGGCCCGCAUUGUAAUUUGCAGAGGAUGCUUUUGGCGAGGUGCCUUCCGAGUUCCCUGGAACGGGACGCCAUAGAGGGUGAGAGCCCCGUAUGGAUGGACACCAAACCUGUGUAAAGCUCCUUCAACGAGUCGAGUAGUUUGGGAAUGCUGCUCUAAAUGGGAGGUAAAUCUCUUCUAAAGCUAAAUACCGGCCAGAGACCGAUAGCGCACAAGUAGAGUGAUCGAAAGAUGAAAAGCACCUUGAAAAGGGGGUUAAACAGUACGUGAAAUUGUUGAAAGGGAAGCGCUUGUGACCAGACUUGCGCCGGGCAGCUCAUCAGGGGUUCUCCCCUGUGCACUCUGCCCGGCUCAGGCCAGCAUCGGUUCUCGUGGGAGGAUAAGAACAGUGGGAACGUGGCCCCCUCUCGGGGGGGUGUUAUAGCCCAUUGUACGAUACUCUCGUGGGGACCGAGGUUCGCGCUCCGCAAGGAUGCUGGCGUAAUGGUCAUCAGCGACCCGUCUUGAAACACGGACCAAGGAGUCGUCCAUUAGAGCGAGCGUUUGGGUGUAAAACCCGCACGCGUAAUGAAAGUGAACGCAGGUGAGAGCUUCGGCGCAUCAUCGACCGAUCCUGAUGUCUUCGGAUGGAUUUGAGUAAGAGUUUUAACGGACGGACCCGAAAGACAGUGAACUAUGCUUGUAUAGGGUGAAGCCAGAGGAAACUCUGGUGGAGGCUCGCAGCGGUUCUGACGUGCAAAUCGAUCGUCAAAUAUGAGCAUGGGGGCGAAAGACUAAUCGAACUGUCUAGUAGCUGGUUACCGC
RNAcentral lists this ribosomal RNA (894 nucleotides) under Cytospora hoffmannii. Its description in RNAcentral is "LSU rRNA". It matches the Rfam family "Eukaryotic large subunit ribosomal RNA", at positions 37 to 961 of the family's 3401-position model. The record is from RNAcentral. Lineage: Eukaryota; Fungi; Ascomycota; Sordariomycetes; Diaporthales; Cytosporaceae.